This is an RNA transcript of Helianthus annuus (common sunflower), 4963 nucleotides long. It is a transcript of the gene named protein LSD1-like, with no coding region annotated. The transcript has 6 exons. Lineage: Eukaryota; Viridiplantae; Streptophyta; Magnoliopsida; Asterales; Asteraceae. The record is from RefSeq and is a predicted model, not a curated record.
ACCAAAUCUAACCGAAUAGUUACGUAAAACCAAAACCGAAAAAGUUUCCUAGCUAAGUUAAAUAAACAUCCAUUUAAUGUCCAUUGAUCUAAACAAAAACAAAACGACAAACUCAUCAAUGUAUGAUUCGUACAAUGUCUCUACGUUCUUAGCAUACCAAACCAAAAAUCUAAACAGGACCCUACCCAUGAUCGUAAAGUGCACGUAAGUAGCAUAGAAUCCAACCCCGGAUUUAUGUCCCCGAAUCAAACCAAAUUGCAAUGCUUCUUUCACGUCCGUUUAAUCUGGCAAUUGUAUUUGUAGGAAAGAUUAUUGCUUCCGACUCCGUUUUUCAGUCAAAAAAGCCAAAUAAUCUAUGAGAGAGAAACUUUACGUCGGCUGCUCAUAAAAUACUCACAAAAUCGUCAAAAUUUUGGCCAUUUUCUCUCUAAAUUUCGUCUAAAUUUUGUACAAAUUUUUCAGUUCAUGUUGAAAUUCCGAUUGUGAAUUUGUGAUGCGUGUUUGAACGGUUGUGAUUGGAUCAUCACGCAGAUGAUAGUGUUAGAGAAGGAUUUGAUAGCGAGUUGCAAGAGAAGAAAAAACCCCUAAUUUCAACGGAUCGGUGAAGAAUAACCCUAAUUGUGGAGGUUGUCGCACAUUGCUAAUACAAGUGUCAGAUGCUCUUGUUGUCGUACUGUGAAUCUCGCACUAGUUGCCAAUCAGCUUGCUCAAGUAAAUUGUGGAAAUUGCAGAACUACGCUGAUGUAUCCAUACGGUGCUCCAUCAGUUAAAUGUGCAGUAUGUCAGUAUAUUACAAAUGUUAAUAUGAGCAAUGGAAGAAUGCCGGUUCCGGUGCGACCAAAUGGAACCGCAACAUCAGGAUCAAUGCCCCCUGUUUCUACCAUACUCCUUUGGAUGGAUGGCAGUCUCAUUUUUCUUUAAGUUCGAAGAUAUAUUCUACUUGCAUUUGGUGAUUUGUUGAUAAGAGUAAACGUUUUUUUACUACCAAACUCCUAUAAAAGGACCAAGUUGGGUUAUCGUUCCAAACACAACCAUCCAAACACCCAACUUAACAAAGAUAGAAUGAUCAUUUUCAACUUCAAGACCAACUAUCGAGUGUUGAUGAAACUAAAUUUUUAGCCGCUGUGGACAAAGCGAGAUCAACUCUUCCUAACCGAGGCAACAAAGGUAUAAUUUCGAACAUUCAUAUGAAUUAUAUAAAUCAAAAGAUAUCGAUCUGCUAGUGAACAAAUUGAAAAAGACGAUGAAACAAAGAUACGUACAUGAUAUAUAAUCAGAUGAAGUCUUGGGGAUGAGAUCUUAAUCUAGAUGGUUAAUGACACCAGUAAUUCCUUGAAAGGCUUUGUUGUUUUAACCGUCUAAACUCAUGAAACACCCGGUUACCAUAGCAUAUUGUUUGUAGCGCACCUAUUAUACUCGAGUGUGGUGUAUAUAUAAUCAUUAUAAUUUUUUUACAUGAACGUACAACACUCUUCGUCUUUACCUUCUGCUUCUACUUUUGAGUAUGAUCAAAUAGACCAGAUCGAUUUAAAGAAAAAACUCUACUUUAAUUUUAAGUACACAACGAAUAUAUAAGUUAUCAUAAAUUAAAACAUGAUGAUGUUGUAGGUUUUCAUGACGGUUUGCUCAAUCUUACGAUCUUCUACGGUUAGUUAACCUUACGAUCUUCUAUAGUUAUCUCUUUGGUCAUUAAGGUAUGAUUAUAGUUGUUUAAUAAAGAUUGUGAGGCAUUUGAGGUUAGUUAACCGUCGUCGCAUGUCGCGAGGCCCUCCAAUGAAUGACGCAGGCAACACAAUCCGUUGUCCAACUCUGCUAGGAUGAACCUCACCGGCAUGGACGCAAUCCACAAGACCUUGGUAUAAUUCAGCUCGUAUCUUACUUUGGUUUCGUUCACAAAAUUGCAAACGUGAUGUCUCAAGCUUUAUAUAAACAUCUACAACAAAUUGUUGUAGCAAUGUACCACCAAGAAAAAGCACGUUUUCGGUAGAGCAAAUUUGAAACUUGUAACAGUAGUAUUCUCGCAUAGCUACGGUUGUCAUACCCCCUCGUGGGUUAGCCCCUGAGUUAAAUAAAAAAAUAGAUAAUUAUAUUACAUUAAAAUUUAGGGUAUUAUUUAUGUGCUUGACUUGUAAAAACAUAGUUAAGUUCUUCCUACCUUCAGCCUCUUCGUCGAUGUUGUCGUAAUCAUUAUGAACAUUAUUGAUUGAUACUCCAUCACGUGGUAUGUUAGGAUGCCAACCCGUCUCACCAUUAGGGAAGAAUAAAGGAUACGAUAAUGGAUCGUAACAUCCAUAGUAUGGCUGAAUAGUUUGAGGGUAUUCGGAUCUAGCGUACACUACAAUACUUCUUUUGUAGGAAGUGAUAUUAUCAUUCCCUUCAACCCAAAUACCAGCAACCUAUAUAGAUGUGUAGUAGAAAUAAGUAUAAUAUAUAAUCUUAGAUAUAUUAACGUUAUUUGUAAAUAAAAUAGGGUAAUUAAACCUCGGAUGUGGUUGGUCGGUUGUACACCCUCUAGUCAAGUUCAACUGAAGCGUUUAGAGUGACUUUAUAGUUGUCUAGAGGACCUAGCUCCGCAAGACUUCGAAAUGUCUCGGCAUAAGGAUUUCUGGAAAGAACAAGUGCCAACUUUUGUGUAAUAUUUCGAUCAAGAUUUGGCCAUUGGAGUCUAAGAUCUAACUCGGUGUCGGGAUCAAAAAAAUAUAGUUGUAAGUACCUAGAUGUGCCAUCCCUAGGAACUAAUUGGUCAAUUCUGUGAUAUAUUUCUUUAUGUGCACGAAAAGUAUAUACACCGUCUCUCAUAUUGUUCAGCGUAUCAUCUAAUGUCACACCCAUUGAGGCGAAAGAAAAAUUGGUGUUAUAAGCGCGUAUGUUUGUCCUAAACAUUUUUCCAAUAUCAUCUUGCGAUGUGAAAAGUAGGUAUAAUUCAGCAGGAAUUUCUGAAGUUGCUAAUCUUUUUUUCCCACUCAUGCAACAAAAGGUGGGGAAUUCAUAUUUAAAUCAUUUUGCUCCACAAUAUGGACAUGGACUGCGUUCAUUUAAGAUGAGAGAUUGUCUAGGUAUACCAUCAUAAACAAAAUUAUAUGGAUCAUGUUCUAUGGUAUCGUCUCGUAUGGGUGGUUGAUCACCGGUCGAAAUAUGUGUACUCGGGAUACCAUUUGAAAUAGGUUGACUAUUAUCUCGACGUGCAGUGUAAUAUCGUCUGUUAGACUCCGGUCGUCUUUCGGCCAAACUAUGUGAGACAGGCUCAUUGUCCAUUCGUAUAGCGUGACCACUAUUAUUAGUUUGUAAAGUGCUUAGCGGUGUCCUUUCACUUGACUGAUUAGUCCUACAUGGUACGGAUGAAUUGCUUUGAGAGGCACUGCCAUUACAAACUCUUGGUUCUUUGGUAUUCUCUUUCUGCAACCAGUAUCGUCUAUUAUACUCUUUUCUUUUUCCCCGUGACGUAGAUGCAGUUGAGGCCGAUGCGCCAUUACGAUCCUUUUGUUGUCCGUUACUCAUAGUAGUAGAACGAUGAAUACCUUUUGUAUGAAUAAUAAUGUUGUGAAUAUUAGUAGGCAUUAUAUGAGCUACUACAAACACUUUUAGCUACCACUCCAUACUAACUUAAACAACUAACUAAAUAACUAAUCUAAAUGUAAAUAACUAUUCAUGUACGUUAAUGAAAACAAGAAAAUAAUAUACAACUUAAAUUCACUACCAUCGAUCUAAAUAUGCAUAAGAAGAAAUACGGAACACGUCUUUUUUUUUUUUCAUAUUCGAAUUUUUAUAAUUUUUUAGUGAUAUUUGUAUUUGUUGGAGGUUGAUUUGAAUUUUUCUUAAUUUCAUUAAGCUAUUUUGUGCAUCUAAAAUUAACAUACUACAACACUGUCUAUGUUUAAUUUUGUAAGAAAUAGCAAUAUAUUUCUUUAUAAUGAAGUAAUAAUGUAAGAAAACACCACUACAAAAUGUGUAAAUGAAAUUAUUUGAAGUAAUCUAAAAAGGACAAGUUUUGGUCAAAGUGAAUUAAAAACUACAAUAAUAAUCGAACAUUUAAAUAGCAUGAGCCUCUGGCAUGUUUGGUUGAAUGACAACGGUAGUGAACUCAGUUGACCGCAAAAUAUUGCCUAUAAGUGAAAAAUGAUAAGAGUAUAAGUUUCGUUUAAUUGAAGUAAGUCUUUAAAAAAACAAGUAUAGUAUAACAUAGUGUCUGGAGAUUGAACCAACUUGACAAGAGACACAUAGACAAUAGAUUUUCUUAACAUCGCACAGAAAGUUUUGACGAUUUGAAUCUGUGUCUCGAGUCGUAUAAAGAUAAUUGUAUCGUGUGACCGCUGCCACAUAUUAUAAUUGAGAUAGAUUAGUUAACAUAAUCAAAACUGUAAAUAUAAACCUAUUAAAAGAACAUUCUUAUUUUUCACACGAAUAGUGCCUCACGUAAAAUCUUGAAGAUCCAUAAGAAAAUGUCCAAAUCGUAUCUCACCCUUGACAAUCUUCCCAACGACAUCUAAAACCGAUAAUGAAUUGUUCUUUAUAUAUAUUAUGUAGUAACAAAGUAGCAUGUCAUAAAAGUUUGUAUGUAUCUAAACAACUUUUACGUACCAGUAAAUAUUUUUUCGUAUCUCGUGUCGUCCAAAAGAUUUUUUAUAGAAGGCACUAAUGGAUACAUACGAAACCCUCGUGGAACAUGACUGUUAAAUUGAAUAAGUUUAGUGUGCUUUGUAAAUACAAUCUUGAAUUCACUCCAAACCAAGAGGUAGUUUUCAUGUUUUGGCCAUUCUUGGUAAUCGAAUUUUUGUCUUUGGAAAUGCUUAAGUACGAACAUGUUGCCCACCAAAUUCAUAUCUUUGAAGAAUUGCAUGAAUGGUUCUGGGACAAAGCUGACCAACUUUUGUCUCUAAAAAAAUAAAAUAGUUAUUAAUAUACCAAUUACACUUUUUGGAAUUUAAUAAGAUGAACGGAUCUUACGUGUUGGUCGAGAAAAACU